GGGGAAUUUUCCGCAAUGGGCGAAAGCCUGACGGAGCAAUACCGCGUGAGGGAAGAAGGUCUUUGGAUCGUAAACCUCUUUUCUCAGGGAAGAAGUUCUGACGGUACCUGAGGAAUAAGCCUCGGCUAACUCCGUGCCAGCAGCCGCGGUAAUACGGAGGAGGCAAGCGUUAUCCGGAAUUAUUGGGCGUAAAGCGUUCGCAGGUGGCUCGUCAAGUCUGCUGUCAAAGACCGGAGCUUAACUCCGGGUAGGCGGUGGAAACUGAAGAGCUAGAGUGCGGUAGGGGUAGAGGGAAUUCCCAGUGUAGCGGUGAAAUGCGUAGAGAUUGGGAAGAACACCCCGGUGGCGAAAGCCGCUCUACUAGGCCGCAACUGACACUCAAGGACGAAAGCUAGGGGAGCGAAAUGGGAUUAGAUACCCCAGUAGUC
This 428-nucleotide ribosomal RNA is filed under the name uncultured cyanobacterium. RNAcentral describes it as "bacterial SSU rRNA". It matches the Rfam family "Bacterial small subunit ribosomal RNA", at positions 356 to 795 of the family's 1533-position model. Lineage: Bacteria; Bacillati; Cyanobacteriota. The record is from RNAcentral.